RNAcentral lists this transfer RNA (67 nucleotides) under Gibbosula rochechouartii. RNAcentral's name for it is "tRNA-Pro". Lineage: Eukaryota; Metazoa; Mollusca; Bivalvia; Unionida; Margaritiferidae. The record is from RNAcentral.
UCAGAAAAUAGUUUACCAAAAACAGUAACUUUGGGAGUUACAGACUUAGCGUCGCUAAUUUUCCGAA